This 496-nucleotide ribosomal RNA is filed under the name uncultured bacterium. RNAcentral describes it as "partial 16S ribosomal RNA". It matches the Rfam family "Bacterial small subunit ribosomal RNA", at positions 899 to 1397 of the family's 1533-position model. The record is from RNAcentral.
ACUCAAAGGAAUAGACGGGGGCCCGCACAAGCGGCGGAGCAUGCUGCUUAAUUCGAUGCGACGCGAAGAACCUUACCUGGGUUUGACAUGCAGGGUGAAACCGUGGAAACACGGCGCUCUCUGGAGCCUGCACAGGUGGUGCAUGGCUGUCGUCAGCUCGUGCCGUGAGGUGUUGCCUUAAGUGGCGCAACGAGCGCAACCCCUGUCCCUAGUUGCCAGCGGAUAAUGCCGGGAACUCUAGGGAGACUGCCGGUGCCAAACCGGAGGAAGGUGGGGAUGACGUCAAGUCAUCAUGCCCCUUAUAUCCAGGGCUGCAAGCAUGCUACAAUGCCCGGUACAGAGGGUUGCGAUCCCGCAAGGGGGAGCGAAUCCCAAAAAGCCGGGCUCAGUUCGGAUCGGGGUCUGCAACUCGACCCCGUGAAGUCGGAGUCGCUAGUAAUCGCGGAUCAGCAAUGCCGCGGUGAAUGCGUUCCCGGGCCUUGCACACACCGCCCGU